RNAcentral lists this transfer RNA (71 nucleotides) under Pelagomonas calceolata. RNAcentral describes it as "partial Selenocysteine transfer RNA". Lineage: Eukaryota; Pelagophyceae; Pelagomonadales; Pelagomonadaceae. The record is from RNAcentral.
CCGCUCUGGUCUAAUGGGAGGACUCGUGGCUUUAGCCCAGUGCCCGCGCAGUGGGGGUUCGAUUCCCUCGG